RNAcentral lists this ribosomal RNA (524 nucleotides) under uncultured bacterium. RNAcentral describes it as "bacterial SSU rRNA". It matches the Rfam family "Bacterial small subunit ribosomal RNA", at positions 10 to 523 of the family's 1533-position model. The record is from RNAcentral.
AGUUUGAUCCUGGCUCAGAUCGAACGCUGGCGGCAGGCCUAACACAUGCAAGUCGAACGGUAACAGAGAGUAGCUUGCUACUUUGCUGACGAGUGGCGGACGGGUGAGUAAUGUCUGGGGAUCUGCCUGAUGGAGGGGGAUAACUACUGGAAACGGUAGCUAAUACCGCAUAAUGUCGCAAGACCAAAGCGGGGGACUUUCGGGCCUCGCACCAUCAGAUGAACCCAGAUGGGAUUAGCUAGUAGGUAGGGUAAUGGCUUACCUAGGCGACGAUCCCUAGCUGGUCUGAGAGGAUGACCAGCCACACUGGAACUGAGACACGGUCCAGACUCCUACGGGAGGCAGCAGUGGGGAAUAUUGCACAAUGGGCGCAAGCCUGAUGCAGCCAUGCCGCGUGUAUGAAGAAGGCCUUCGGGUUGUAAAGUACUUUCAGUCAGGAGGAAGGGUGUGAAAUUAAUACUUUCAUGCAUUGACGUUACUGACAGAAGAAGCACCGGCUAACUCCGUGCCAGCAGCCGCGGUAA